Molecule: ribosomal RNA, 1520 nt
Filed under: Francisella sp. AF-03-28
Lineage: Bacteria; Pseudomonadati; Pseudomonadota; Gammaproteobacteria; Thiotrichales; Francisellaceae
Also listed under: 1 other name
Description: 16S ribosomal RNA
Rfam family: Bacterial small subunit ribosomal RNA
Source: RNAcentral
AGAGUUUGAUCUUGGCUCAGAUUGAACGCUGGUGGCAUGCUUAACACAUGCAAGUCGAACGGUAACAGGUCUUCGGAUGCUGACGAGUGGCGGACGGGUGAGUAACGCGUAGGAAUCUGCCCAUCUGUGGGGGAUACCAGUUGGAAACGACUGUUAAUACCGCAUAAUAUCUGCGGAUUAAAGGUGGCCUUUGCGCUGCCGCAGAUGGAUGAGCCUGCGUUGGAUUAGCUAGUUGGUGGGGUAAGGGCCUACCAAGGCUACGAUCCAUAGCUGAUUUGAGAGGAUGAUCAGCCACAUUGGGACUGAGACACGGCCCAAACUCCUACGGGAGGCAGCAGUGGGGAAUAUUGGACAAUGGGGGAAACCCUGAUCCAGCAAUGCCAUGUGUGUGAAGAAGGCUCUAGGGUUGUAAAGCACUUUAGUUGGGGAGGAAAGCCUGUGAGUUAAUAGCUUGCAGGAAGGACGUUGCCCAAAGAAUAAGGACCGGCUAACUCCGUGCCAGCAGCCGCGGUAAUACGGGGGGUCCGAGCGUUAAUCGGAAUUACUGGGCGUAAAGGGUCUGUAGGUGGUUUGUUAAGUCAGAUGUGAAAGCCCAGGGCUCAACCUUGGAACUGCAUUUGAUACUGACAAACUAGAGUAUGGUAGAGGAAUAGGGAACUUCUGGUGUAGCGGUGAAAUGCGUAGAGAUCAGAAGGAACACCAAUGGCGAAGGCAACAUUCUGGACCAAUACUGACACUGAGGGACGAAAGCGUGGGGAUCAAACAGGAUUAGAUACCCUGGUAGUCCACGCUGUAAACGAUGAGUACUAGCUGUUGGAUUCGGUGUAAAGGAUCUAGUGGCGCAGCUAACGCGUUAAGUACUCCGCCUGGGGACUACGGCCGCAAGGCUAAAACUCAAAGGAAUUGACGGGGACCCGCACAAGCGGUGGAGCAUGUGGUUUAAUUCGAUGCAACGCGAAGAACCUUACCUGGUCUUGACAUCCUGCGAACUUUCUAGAGAUAGAUUGGUGCCUUCGGGAACGCAGUGACAGGUGCUGCACGGCUGUCGUCAGCUCGUGUUGUGAAAUGUUGGGUUAAGUCCCGCAACGAGCGCAACCCCUAUUGAUAGUUACCAUCAUUAAGUUGGGUACUCUAUUGAGACUGCCGCUGACAAGGCGGAGGAAGGUGGGGACGACGUCAAGUCAUCAUGGCCCUUACGACCAGGGCUACACACGUGCUACAAUGGGUAUUACAGAGGGCUGCGAAGGUGCGAGCUGGAGCGAAACUCAGAAAGGUACUCUUAGUCCGGAUUGCAGUCUGCAACUCGACUGCAUGAAGUCGGAAUCGCUAGUAAUCGCAGGUCAGAAUACUGCGGUGAAUACGUUCCCGGGUCUUGUACACACCGCCCGUCACACCAUGGGAGUGGGUUGCUCCAGAAGUAGAUAGCUUAACGAAUGGGCGUUUACCACGGAGUGAUUCAUAACUGGGGUGAAGUCGUAACAAGGUAGCCGUAGGGGAACCUGCGGCUGGAUCACCUCCUU